ACACCUCAAGCAUGCCUCAUUGGAUUGGCCAUCCUGGUUUAGUUCCACGUGGGCGUGGGCCGGCCCAGCAUGCUAAGGAAAAAGCUCCAGCCAUAUGCAUUCUAGUUCACCUUCUGUUUGUAUCAUUCAAUUCCCAAUUGAUGUAAAAUUUCCUAGUUAUAUUGCGAUAACCUCCAAACUAUUUGAUUUUGUUGGAAGCAAUGAUCCCCUGGUAAAAUUGCAUAGAGUUACUCUUUUGUGGCACCUUUG
This 249-nucleotide long non-coding RNA is filed under the name Setaria italica (foxtail millet). RNAcentral's name for it is "long non-coding RNA (SITA_LNC003836)". The record is from RNAcentral. Lineage: Eukaryota; Viridiplantae; Streptophyta; Magnoliopsida; Poales; Poaceae.